CUUUCCUUCAGGCCUUGGAGAAAUACUGUCGGACAGAAGCCGGCUUCUCUGGGAUCCAAGAUGUGUACAGUAGCUCUCCCAACCACGACAACAAGCAGCAGAGCUUCUUUCUAGCGGAGACACUAAAGUAUCUCUAUCUUCUGUUCUCUGAAGAUGACGUGCUCUCCCUGGAAGACUGGGUGUUCAACACUGAGGCCCACCCGCUCCCUGUGAACCACUCAGACAGCUCUGGCAGGACACAGGGUAGGCAGUGACCCCAUCUCCCUGCCGCCACAGGGAUGCCUUGUCUUUUGGGGAUUUGGGACUGUCACACAGUUCAAAGGGAUUGGGAACAUAGGUCCCAUCUCGGGUAGACCCCGAGCAGAUGUGUCAGACAAGCAACUUUUCCUCUGUGAGGAGUCUGGACUUGGAGAUGCAGCAGUGUCAGAUAAGGGCCAUGGUCACAAUAGGCCCAGACAUUCCUUCUAUAGAGAAUUUUAUGAAGCCCACUCAACUUGCCAUUCCAGGGCCAAAGGACCGGAGGUUUGCAUAUCUACCCACAUAUUUGAUUUGCUUCCUUUUGUUUGGGGGGGUUUUGUUUUUGCUUGAUUUUGCCUUUUCUCUACAACUGAGUUUUGUCAUAAUUAUUUAGUUUUCAAAAUCAUGUGCUUUCUAAAACAGUGUUAUCCUGAUAAAUACACCCACCAAAUCUUGACCCCAUUAUCUAUAUUUUAAAUGCCUUUUGCCCCACAUUUACUCCAUGUCCAGCUAUGUGUUAUUUACCUUUUAAUUUGAGGAGGGUGUCCCUUUUGAUUUGGGCCUACGUGUUACAAAUCACUAGUGCUAUUUUCAUUAUUGUAAUGGAGAAAUCUGUGAACUAGAAUAAAAGAAUUUAUUGAAUAAGAAA
Molecule: long non-coding RNA, 886 nt
Organism: Otolemur garnettii (small-eared galago)
Lineage: Eukaryota; Metazoa; Chordata; Mammalia; Primates; Galagidae
Exons: 2
Source: RefSeq, a predicted model, not a curated record